Long non-coding RNA from Etheostoma cragini (Arkansas darter), 820 nucleotides. RefSeq lists it as uncharacterized. The transcript is spliced from 3 exons. The record is from RefSeq and is a predicted model, not a curated record. Lineage: Eukaryota; Metazoa; Chordata; Actinopteri; Perciformes; Percidae.
ACAUAUGCUACCUACCUAGCCAGCUAACUAGCUAGGCUGGCUUGCAGGCUUAGAUGUAUGAGUCAGCAUCAAAGUGAAAACCAAGUGUUAGCGGCAGUAGCUUAUAUCUGCUGGUUAAUUCAGAGUUACUCAGGCAGUGUGUGAUUCUGGAAAUUUUCCUGGGCCUGAGUUGAGUUUUGAUCAUUUCUUAAAUUAUUUCAUAGUUUUUUGGCUCUUUUAUUUCUGUUCAUGAGAUUAAUCAUUUGAUAAUGUCUUGUUCAUUUUGACAGUGUAUCUUCAUCAUCUUGAUCAGCUUUCUGUCUCUGUAUCUAAACAGGUGAUUGUUCAUUGCAAAAUCACAAACUAGACUCCACUUCACCCCAGGUUCAAUCCAAUAAUUGGAUUUUGAUUACAAACUUGUUUUCUCCCAUCCCUUCACUGUAUUUCAAACAUUUUAACUCUUGUUUUUACACCAGGUUUUCUACCAUAUAGCACUGAGUUAAUGAUGUCUGACUGUGGAAAUCUGUCACUUUGACUGCUUUGUUGUGACCUGGUAAAUGGCUUGUGGAUCCACCCUGAUGUGUACAUUUCCAUUUAUUAGAGAAUUUCAGUCUAUGGUAGAGAAAUAUGGAAUAAUAAUGCUACAGGGUAUGUGGUCAAACCUUGUACCAAGCUUUUUUUAAAGACCUUCUGCUAUAAUAGGAACUAUUCUAAUAACCACACAUACAGCACACACUCCUGACAUCUGCUUCUACAGCUGAAGGACAUCUCUUACACAUACACACACACACAUACACACAUACACACAAACUCACACUUGUAAGUGAAAGAACACCUCUGU